This 253-nucleotide ribosomal RNA is filed under the name uncultured bacterium. RNAcentral describes it as "partial 16S ribosomal RNA". It matches the Rfam family "Archaeal small subunit ribosomal RNA", at positions 474 to 727 of the family's 1478-position model. The record is from RNAcentral.
UACCAGCACCCCGAGUGGUCGGGACGAUUAUUGGGCCUAAAGCAUCCGUAGCCGGCCUUACAAGUCCCCCGUUAAAUCCAACUGCUUAACAGAUGGGCUGCGGAGGAUACUAUAAGACUAGGAGGCAGGAGAGGCAAGCGGUACUCAGUGGGUAGGGGUAAAAUCCGUUGAUCCAUUGAAGACCACCAGUGGCGAAGGCGGCUUGCCAGAAUGCGCUCGACGGUGAGGGAUGAAAGCUGGGGGAGCAAAACGG